RNAcentral lists this unclassified non-coding RNA (708 nucleotides) under Kluyveromyces marxianus. RNAcentral's name for it is "sequence contains 18S rRNA gene, ITS1, 5.8S rRNA gene, ITS2, 28S rRNA gene". The stretch from base 261 to 414 matches the Rfam family "5.8S ribosomal RNA". Lineage: Eukaryota; Fungi; Ascomycota; Saccharomycetes; Saccharomycetales; Saccharomycetaceae. The record is from RNAcentral.
UCCGUAGGUGAACCUGCGGAAGGAUCAUUAAAGAUUAUGAAUGAAUAGAUUACUGGGGGAAUCGUCUGAACAAGGCCUGCGCUUAAUUGCGCGGCCAGUUCUUGAUUCUCUGCUAUCAGUUUUCUAUUUCUCAUCCUAAACACAAUGGAGUUUUUUCUCUAUGAACUACUUCCCUGGAGAGCUCGUCUCUCCAGUGGACAUAAACACAAACAAUAUUUUGUAUUAUGAAAAACUAUUAUACUAUAAAAUUUAAUAUUCAAAACUUUCAACAACGGAUCUCUUGGUUCUCGCAUCGAUGAAGAACGCAGCGAAUUGCGAUAUGUAUUGUGAAUUGCAGAUUUUCGUGAAUCAUCAAAUCUUUGAACGCACAUUGCGCCCUCUGGUAUUCCAGGGGGCAUGCCUGUUUGAGCGUCAUUUCUCUCUCAAACCUUUGGGUUUGGUAGUGAGUGAUACUCGUCUCGGGUUAACUUGAAAGUGGCUAGCCGUUGCCAUCUGCGUGAGCAGGGCUGCGUGUCAAGUCUAUGGACUCGACUCUUGCACAUCUACGUCUUAGGUUUGCGCCAAUUCGUGGUAAGCUUGGGUCAUAGAGACUCAUAGGUGUUAUAAAGACUCGCUGGUGUUUGUCUCCUUGAGGCAUACGGCUUUAACCAAAACUCUCAAAGUUUGACCUCAAAUCAGGUAGGAGUACCCGCUGAACUUAAGCAUAUC